This 465-nucleotide ribosomal RNA is filed under the name Vreelandella stevensii. RNAcentral describes it as "partial 16S ribosomal RNA". It matches the Rfam family "Bacterial small subunit ribosomal RNA", at positions 338 to 795 of the family's 1533-position model. The record is from RNAcentral. Lineage: Bacteria; Pseudomonadati; Pseudomonadota; Gammaproteobacteria; Oceanospirillales; Halomonadaceae.
CCUACGGGAGGCAGCAGUGGGGAAUAUUGGACAAUGGGCGAAAGCCUGAUCCAGCCAUGCCGCGUGUGUGAAGAAGGCCUUCGGGUUGUAAAGCACUUUCAGUGGGGAAGAAAGCCUUGGGGCUAAUACCCUCGAGGAAGGACAUCACCCACAGAAGAAGCACCGGCUAACUCCGUGCCAGCAGCCGCGGUAAUACGGAGGGUGCGAGCGUUAAUCGGAAUUACUGGGCGUAAAGCGCGCGUAGGCGGUCUGAUAAGCCGGUUGUGAAAGCCCCGGGCUCAACCUGGGAACGGCAUCCGGAACUGUCAGGCUAGAGUGUAGGAGAGGAAGGUAGAAUUCCCGGUGUAGCGGUGAAAUGCGUAGAGAUCGGGAGGAAUACCAGUGGCGAAGGCGGCCUUCUGGACUGACACUGACGCUGAGGUGCGAAAGCGUGGGUAGCAAACAGGAUUAGAUACCCGUGUAGUC